UAGUGUUACAGCUAUUUUAGAAUUUUUCUAGUAGGCUUUCUGGUAUAUGCUAGAAAGCUCCC
Molecule: small nuclear RNA, 62 nt
Filed under: Carlito syrichta (Philippine tarsier)
Lineage: Eukaryota; Metazoa; Chordata; Mammalia; Primates; Tarsiidae
Description: U7 small nuclear RNA (ENSTSYG00000022048.2)
Rfam family: U7 small nuclear RNA
About the family: Animal histone pre-mRNAs are spliced by a different mechanism than nuclear pre-mRNAs and self-splicing introns. This processing involves the U7 snRNP, which contains only one RNA species: U7.
Source: Rfam by way of RNAcentral